Molecule: long non-coding RNA, 459 nt
Organism: Prunus avium (sweet cherry)
Lineage: Eukaryota; Viridiplantae; Streptophyta; Magnoliopsida; Rosales; Rosaceae
Source: RefSeq, a predicted model, not a curated record
UUCAUGAGCUCUAGUCUCUCAUCUUCAUCUUCAACCCCAAUUUUCAGUUUUUGUUCUUCCAUUUCUUGUUUUGAAAUAAACUUUCUCUUUGGACUUUUUGGAUUGUGCGGAUGUCUAUGUCUCCUCUCUAUUGCUGGCUCUGACACUUUUUCAAGGGACCAAGCCUCAGCUCGCCAAAUCGGAUCAUCUCGAUCUCUCCAAUGAUAUCAAAGGAACCUCAAUCUCGACAAGUCGUCAUCUCAGUGAAAACGACAACUGAGGACCUCAUAGGUUGUUCCAAAGUACUGCACAACGCCAGCGACUCGUCAUCUUCAGUUGUGGAGGAAGACAGGGAUUUCGUCGCGUCGUCAUCGUCGUCGUUUGGUUUGGACUUGAGAUUUUUUAUCUUUUGCUUCAAUUAUGUGUUUCUCUUCGAAUUUUAGUUAAUUUGAGGAAUAUAUUUUAAGCUUUGAUGAUCAA